RNAcentral lists this ribosomal RNA (1111 nucleotides) under uncultured cyanobacterium. Its description in RNAcentral is "bacterial SSU rRNA". It matches the Rfam family "Bacterial small subunit ribosomal RNA", at positions 389 to 1514 of the family's 1533-position model. The record is from RNAcentral. Lineage: Bacteria; Bacillati; Cyanobacteriota.
GAGCAACGCCGCGUGAGGGAUGAAGGCCUCUGGGCUGUAAACCUCUUUUCUCAAGGAAGAAGAUCUGACGGUACUUGAGGAAUAAGCCACGGCUAAUUCCGUGCCAGCAGCCGCGGUAAUACGGGAGUGGCAAGCGUUAUCCGGAAUUAUUGGGCGUAAAGCGUCCGCAGGCGGCCUCGAAAGUCUGUCGUUAAAGCGUGGAGCUUAACUCCAUUUAAGCGGUGGAAACUACGAGGCUAGAGUGUGGUAGGGGCAGAGGGAAUUCCCGGUGUAGCGGUGAAAUGCGUAGAUAUCGGGAAGAACACCAGUGGCGAAGGCGCUCUGCUGGGCCAUAACUGACGCUCAUGGACGAAAGCCAGGGGAGCGAAAGGGAUUAGAUACCCCUGUAGUCCUGGCCGUAAACGAUGAACACUAGGUGUCGGGGGAAUCGACCCCCUCGGUGUCGUAGCUAACGCGUUAAGUGUUCCGCCUGGGGAGUACGCACGCAAGUGUGAAACUCAAAGGAAUUGACGGGGGCCCGCACAAGCGGUGGAGUAUGUGGUUUAAUUCGAUGCAACGCGAAGAACCUUACCAGGGCUUGACAUCCUGCGAAUCCCUUGGAAACUUGGGAGUGCCUUCGGGAGCGCAGAGACAGGUGGUGCAUGGCUGUCGUCAGCUCGUGUCGUGAGAUGUUGGGUUAAGUCCCGCAACGAGCGCAACCCACGUCUUUAGUUGCCAGCAUUAAGUUGGGCACUCUAGAGAGACCGCCGGUGAUAAGCCGGAGGAAGGUGUGGAUGACGUCAAGUCAUCAUGCCCCUUACGUCCUGGGCUACACACGUACUACAAUGCUACGGACAAAGGGCAGCAAACUCGCGAGAGCUAGCAAAUCCCAUAAACCGUGGCUCAGUUCAGAUCGUAGGCUGCAACUCGCCUACGUGAAGGAGGAAUCGCUAGUAAUCGCAGGUCAGCAUACUGCGGUGAAUACGUUCCCGGGCCUUGUACACACCGCCCGUCACACCAUGGAAGUUGGCCACGCCCGAAGUCGUUACUCCAACCCGCAAGGGAGGAGGAUGCCGAAGGUGGGGCUGAUGACUGGGGUGAAGUCGUAACAAGGUAGCCGUACCGGAAGGUG